UACGAACGCUGGCGGCGCGCCUAACACAUGCAAGUCGAACGAGCGAGAGAGAGCUUGCUUUCUCAAGCGAGUGGCGAACGGGUGAGUAACGCGUGAGGAACCUGCCUCAAAGAGGGGGACAACACUUGGAAACAGGUGCUAAUACCGCAUAAUUUCAUCUACCGCAUGGUAGAUGGAUGAAAGGCGCUUUUGCGUCACUGAUGGAUGGACCCGCGGUGCAUUAGCUAGUUGGUGGGGUAACGGCCUACCAAGGCUGCGAUGCAUAGCCGACCUGAGAGGGUGAUCGGCCACACUGGGACUGAGACACGGCCCAG
This 314-nucleotide ribosomal RNA is filed under the name uncultured bacterium. RNAcentral's name for it is "bacterial SSU rRNA". It matches the Rfam family "Bacterial small subunit ribosomal RNA", at positions 29 to 334 of the family's 1533-position model. The record is from RNAcentral.